CAGGGAGGACAUACAACUGUAGGACAAGUACAGAGGGCUGAAGGGCAGCUAUGUCAACAAGGAAGCAAUGCAGGAACAGAAACCUGAAUCAAUGCUCAGUCAGACCCUUUAAUUAUGCAGCUCAUUUUUGUUUUUUGCACUCUUUGCAUUGCCUGCCUGCAGUGAUGGUACAUCUACUGCAAUUCCCUGUGUAUCCUGCUGAUCCUUGUUUUUCCCAAGACGAGGCAACCCAAGCCUUCUUGUUGUGAUAUACCUCUGACUGGUCCAGUGUUAUCCAUUGGUUUCCCCAAGUGCUUUGCCCCAGGAAUAUGUACAGCCCUGGGGAGGAUCAAGAUUUCUGUUAAAGACUAUCUGCUCAUAAAGUGAGUAUUUAUCUAAGCCCCAGAUUAGUCAGGUGUUCUGGGCACUUCCUGCCUAGGCCUCUUCUCUAAGUGGCUGUUGCACUUGUUCACAAAUGAAACAUACAUUAUUCCUAGCAGCCCUCAUGAUGAGCAGUACACACAAAUGACCUCUUGGAAGCUCUCUUGACUCGUGCAAAACAUAAGAAAAUUGAAAAUCUAUAUUUGCAAGGUCAGAAAUAAAAAUGAAAACAUCACUUUGGCUGUCUAAAAG
This 612-nucleotide long non-coding RNA is filed under the name Chloebia gouldiae (Gouldian finch). Its description in RNAcentral is "Erythrura gouldiae (Gouldian finch) lncRNA (ENSEGOG00005019535.1)". Lineage: Eukaryota; Metazoa; Chordata; Aves; Passeriformes; Passeridae. The record is from RNAcentral.